Molecule: small nuclear RNA, 106 nt
Organism: Lontra canadensis (Northern American river otter)
Lineage: Eukaryota; Metazoa; Chordata; Mammalia; Carnivora; Mustelidae
Source: RefSeq, a predicted model, not a curated record
GUGCUUGCCACAGCAGCCCAUAUACUACAGUUGGAACAACACAGAAGAUAAACAUAGCUUCUUGCGUAAGGAUGACAUGCAAAUUUGUGAAGCAUUCCGUAUUAAA